Molecule: unclassified non-coding RNA, 348 nt
Filed under: soil metagenome
Description: partial contains 5.8S ribosomal RNA, internal transcribed spacer 2, and large subunit ribosomal RNA
Rfam family: 5.8S ribosomal RNA (bases 1-121)
Source: RNAcentral
GAUGAAGAACGUAGCGAAAUGCGAUAAGUAAUGCGAAUUGCAGAAUUUCCGUGAGUCAUCGAAUCUUUGAACGCACAUUGCGCCCAUUGGCAUUCCGAUGGGCAUGCCUGUUCGAGCGUCAUUAUCCUCCCUCAAACCCCUGGGUUUGGUGUUGGACUGUGUGGUGCCUGGCACCACUGGUCUCAAAGACAAUGACGGCGUCCGUGGGACCCUCGGUGCAACGAGCUUUUCGAAGCACGCGUCGAGUGGACAGUCUCUCCGGGCCGGUCACCUCUCCAAUUUUUCUCAGGUUGACCUCGGAUCAGGUAGGAAUACCCGCGGAACUUAAGCAUAUCAAUAAGCGGAGGA